RNAcentral lists this ribosomal RNA (253 nucleotides) under uncultured bacterium. Its description in RNAcentral is "partial 16S ribosomal RNA". It matches the Rfam family "Bacterial small subunit ribosomal RNA", at positions 524 to 776 of the family's 1533-position model. The record is from RNAcentral.
UACAGAGGGUGCAAGCGUUAAUCGGAAUUACUGGGCGUAAAGCGUGCGUAGACGGUUACAUAAGUCGGGUGUGAAAGCCCCGGGCUCAACCUGGGAAUUGCAUUCGAGACUGCGUAGCUAGGGUGCGGAAGAGGGAAGCGGAAUUUCCGGUGUAGCGGUGAAAUGCGUAGAGAUCCGGAGGAACACCGAAGGCGAAGGCAGUGUCCUGGGGAGUACCUGACGCUCAGGUGCGAAAGCUAGGGGAGCGAACGGG